RNAcentral lists this non-coding RNA (153 nucleotides) under uncultured Marivita sp. The record is from RNAcentral. Lineage: Bacteria; Pseudomonadati; Pseudomonadota; Alphaproteobacteria; Rhodobacterales; Roseobacteraceae.
UACGCGCUGUCCGAAUAGGGAAUACGGUGAAAAUCCGUGACUGCCCCCGCAACUGUAAGCGGUGAGUGCUUCGCGCAAGACCACUGGGCUAAUGGCCUGGGAAGGUGCGAUCCGCAUGAUGACCCGCAAGUCAGGAGACCUGCCAUCAUAUGU